GCCUAAUACAUGCAAGUCGAGCGAACGGACGAGAAGCUUGCUUCUCUGAUGUUAGCGGCGGACGGGUGAGUAACACGUGGAUAACCUACCUAUAAGACUGGGAUAACUUCGGGAAACCGGAGCUAAUACCGGAUAAUAUUUUGAACCGCAUGGUUCAAAAGUGAAAGACGGUCUUGCUGUCACUUAUAGAUGGAUCUGCGCUGCAUUAGCUAGUUGGUAAGGUAACGGCUUACCAAGGCAACGAUGCAUAGCCGACCUGAGAGGGUGAUCGGCCACACUGGAACUGAGACACGGUCCAGACUCCUACGGGAGGCAGCAGUAGGGAAUCUUCCGCAAUGGGCGAAAGCCUGACGGAGCAACGCCGCGUGAGUGAUGAAGGUCUUCGGAUCGUAAAACUCUGUUAUUAGGGAAGAACAUAUGUGUAAGUAACUGUGCACAUCUUGACGGUACCUAAUCAGAAAGCCACGGCUAACUACGUGCCAGCAGCCGCGGUAAUACGUAGGUGGCAAGCGUUAUCCGGAAUUAUUGGGCGUAAAGCGCGCGUAGGCGGUUUUUUAAGUCUGAUGUGAAAGCCCACGGCUCAACCGUGGAGGGUCAUUGGAAACUGGAAAACUUGAGUGCAGAAGAGGAAAGUGGAAUUCCACGUGUAGCGGUGAAAUGCGCAGAGAUAUGGAGGAACACCAGUGGCGAAGGCGACUUUCUGGUCUGUAACUG
This 714-nucleotide ribosomal RNA is filed under the name uncultured Staphylococcus sp. RNAcentral describes it as "bacterial SSU rRNA". It matches the Rfam family "Bacterial small subunit ribosomal RNA", at positions 46 to 742 of the family's 1533-position model. The record is from RNAcentral. Lineage: Bacteria; Bacillati; Bacillota; Bacilli; Caryophanales; Staphylococcaceae.